Non-coding RNA from Lolium perenne, 2312 nucleotides. NCBI's taxonomy places the organism in Eukaryota, Viridiplantae, Streptophyta, Magnoliopsida, Poales, Poaceae. The record is from RefSeq and is a predicted model, not a curated record.
GCUCCCCUUGCGCUCGCCCCGCACGCGCAGCUACUGGGCCAAGCCCAACUCUCACCGAAGAGCCAUAUUCGCUCCCCUAUCUGUAACCGUGGAGGCAGAGAGGUUCACCUGCGCACCCCUGAUCCCCAACACCGCCGGCGCCCCCUCUGGAUCCCCAUCUCCACUGUCCCCCUCUGGAUCUCCGUCUCCACCGGCGCCCCCUUCAUCCCCAACACCAUUGCCGCCCCUUUGAUCUCCGUCUCCACCGCCCCCUUGAUCCACAACACUCCUUCUCACACAGACCCUAUUUGAAGGCUGGAAUCGAGUUUGCAUGCCUGGGGAGGCCGUCGUGGUAGUGACGAGGUCGUCAUUGAUCUGCACCUGAUGGUAGGUGGGCGACAAGGACGGCGCCGCGGCCUCCACCAGCUUCCACGGGAACGACGCCAUCGGCAGCCCCUACGCAUCCUUAGUCUGCGCCCGCGCCGGCGAAAUCCACCGCUGCAACACCUCGUGCCUGCGCCGCCGCGUCCUCCAACUUCAUCUCCUUGGUCUCCUCCCUCAAGUCCUGCCUCGCAUCUCAGAGGCCCUCGCCUGGUGAGCAGCAUCACGGAGGCCGUCGCCUGCCUCCACCCCUCGACGCCUUCCGUAACCUGCAGGGGUGUUCUCCAAUUAGUGCCGGAAUUAUUUAGUUUCAUAGACUCUAAAUUUAGCAGGCUAAUAAGUGUUGGUUCAGGAUUGAGGUUCUAUAUUAUUUAGGUGUGUUUAUAGUACAUAUGGAAGCAUACUGGAGGUCUGAAGUCUGAAACGCAUUGUCAACAGUUUCCUUGAUAACAAGCACACGAUGUCCAAUAUAUCAUACGAAUUAGGGUGAGUUAUGCACCACCUGAAAGCACACCUUGCACCAAAUGAACUGCUGGGAUCAGGUUGGACAUUUGAGUAUAGUGUUGGCAUGCAUCCCAGCUACGAGAGCUUUCAGGUACUGGACCAAUGUGCUUGUAUUGACCAUCGACAUAUUCUCUCUGCUCACCACUUGGCAUCCAAUGUAAGAAAUCUUGAAAUAUCAUGAAAUGCUAAAUAUUUGUUGCAAUUAACUUUUGUUUUAGCAUGUCUGUUAACAACUCAUUUUCUACUCUUACGAGUUAUGAUCCCCACCAUCGAGUCCGCCAGCGUCGACGCUGCCAGGUGGUGGAUGCCUGCUUGCCAGGGCCACGUUGACGCGAAGCAUAUAUGUCCACUGCCUGUCUUGCCGUAGGGGAGUUCCGCGAGGUCCUGAUCCGGCAUUGAUCCGAUGACGCCUUCAUGGCUAAGAGUUUGGUGCUCCCUACGGCCGGCGACGUAGCAGGCGGAGGUUCCUCUUGACUCGUCGUGCAACACCUUUGUCGAUCUGGGUGACGCUGCAGUAAAGAUAGAACUGUUGUUGUGCCAAUUGUCUCCCUCCCACGCCAGUGAAGGUGCAUGAAUAAAUAUAUCUGUUGCCCUGUGUAUAAAUUAUACUUACGUGCCUUUUCAAUUUAAACCAUGAAAUAUAUCAUUAUAUUACUUUAGUUUUCUGCAUCUACUUGACUAGAACGAGUAUGCUUCAAACAUAGCUAAAAGGGAUGCUUUCCAUGAGAAAGAGAGAUUUUUCUAAAUAUCUGCACUCCAAAUACACAUCAUGGCUCUUUUUGUUUGUGUAAAUUUGUUCAUAAUGACUAUCAAAUGUCCAUCCAGUACUCUGUUUUGGUUUACCAAGUACUAACAUUAUAGGAUGUCGCAUAUUCCAUCUCAUAUUUGCUUAAGUAUUAGCAUAUGACUUGUUAGGCUGCAGGCUCAUUCUCAGUUUUUAAAAGUAUAUACGAACCUUCAGAUUUUUCAAAUAUUUGCAGAAGUUUCGGUACUAAAGAACAUCAGUUUAUUCAAAUAUUGUUCGAAAUAAGGAGAAUUAGCAAAGAUGAUUUGCAAAUUAAUGUGUGAAGAGCAUCUUUUUUUAUCUAUUCAUAUGAUUUAGCAGCUUGAUUUGUGUCUGUCGGUACCGGUGCCCUCGGUGGGUUGGUAGGUGUGGCUUUGAAUUUUGCAGAGAUAUUUUGGGGGCAUAUCUCCUAUUUCCUCCCAAUUAACUUGGAUUGUGUUGUACCAGCUAAGAUCUAUGUCUUCCUUUGGUUGGUAUUAAACAACACAAUCGUUACUAGAAAAUUUAGGGAAAAUAUAGGCAUGUUAGUGAUCCAACUUAUGAUGUUUUGUCAAUUUUAUCUCUCUAGGCUUAACCUACCCAUGAUAUUAACAUUUUUACUACUGCUGCUCUUUAGAGUAUUUGGAAUUUACAUAAUGAAUGGAAUUUGUUUUCUGUGGCUGAC